AAUCCCGGCGCGGCGCGCCGGGAGUUGUAGUCUGGAGAAGGAUCCUCUGCUGCGCACCGGACCCAAGUUCCCUGGAAAGGGACGUCGUGGAGGGUGAAAACCCCGUAGAGUCCGGACCGUGCUGCUCCACGAGGUCCUGUCUGCGAGUCGGGCUGUUUGGGAAUGCAGCCCUAAGUGGGUGGUAAACUCCAUCCAAGGCUAAAUACUGGCAAGAGACCGAUAGCGAACAAGUACCGCGAGGGAAAGAUGAAAAGGACUUUGAAAAGAGAGUUAAAAAGUGCUUGAAAUUGCUGGGAGGGAAGCGAAUGGAAGCUGCGGGUGUUUCCCGGUUGAAUGUGGAACGGAUGUUUAUAUCCAAAUAUCUGGUCCGCCGCUCAACGCGGGAAACUGGUCAGCGUGGGCUGCCGCGGCGGGAAAAAGGUUGGGCGGGAGCGUUUCCCGCCCUGACAACAAUGCCGUUGCGGUGGCCGAGGAACGCGAAGCGCGCGCCGGAUUCCAUCCGGCGUGGGAUGUCAAUCCAUCCCAACUGCGCGCUCGGGACGCUGGCGUAUUGAGCUCUUCAUCCGACCCGUCUUGAAACACGGACCAAGGAGUCUAACAUGUAUGCGAGCCGGUGGGCGGCAAACCCAUUGAGGCGCAAGCAAACUGACAGGUGGGAUCCCGCCCCGCCUUCGCCGGCGGGAGAGGGAGCACCAUCGACCGACCGUGAUCUUCUGUGAAAGGUUCGAGUGUGAGCAUACCUGUUGGGACCCGAAAGAUGGUGAACUAUGCCUGAGCAGGGCGAAGCCAGAGGAAACUCUGGUGGAGGCUCGUAGCGAUACUGACGUGCAAAUCGUUCGUCAGACUUGGGUAUAGGGGCGAAAGACUAAUCGAACCAUCUAGUAGCUGGUUCCCUCCGAAGUUUCCCUCAGGAUAGCUGGAGCUCGUGUGACUGAGUUUUAUCAGGUAAAGCGAAUGAUUAGAGGCAUCGGGGGUGUAACACCCUCGACCUAUUCUCAAACUUUAAAUGGGUAAGCCGCCGGGGUUGCUUGGCUUGAACCCCGGCACAGAAUCCAGA
This 1057-nucleotide ribosomal RNA is filed under the name Drummondia obtusifolia. RNAcentral's name for it is "eukaryotic LSU rRNA". It matches the Rfam family "Eukaryotic large subunit ribosomal RNA", at positions 119 to 1118 of the family's 3401-position model. The record is from RNAcentral. Lineage: Eukaryota; Viridiplantae; Streptophyta; Bryopsida; Scouleriales; Drummondiaceae.